Molecule: ribosomal RNA, 442 nt
Filed under: uncultured bacterium
Lineage: Bacteria
Description: partial 16S ribosomal RNA
Rfam family: Bacterial small subunit ribosomal RNA
Source: RNAcentral
CCUACGGGAGGCAGCAGUGGGGAAUAUUGGGCAAUGGGCGCAAGCCUGACCCAGCAACGCCGCGUGAAGGAAGAAGGCUUUCGGGUUGUAAACUUCUUUUAAGAGGGAAGAACAGCAGACGGUACCUCUUGAUUAAGCCACGGCUAACUACGUGCCAGCAGCCGCGGUAAUACGUAGGUGGCAAGCGUUGUCCGGAUUUACUGGGUGUAAAGGGCGUGUAGCCGGGCUGACAAGUCAGUUGUGAAAUCCCGUGGCUCAACCACGGAACUGAAAUUGAAACUGUCGGUCUUGAGUAUCGGAGAGGCAGGCGGAAUUCGUAGUGUAGCGGUGAAAUGCGUAGAUAUUAGGAGGAACACCAGUGGCGAAGGCGGCCUGCUGGACGACAACUGACGGUGAGGCGCGAAAGCGUGGGGAGCAAACAGGAGUAGAUACCCUAGUAGUC